AAGUCGUAACAAGGUUUCCGUAGGUGAACCUGCGGAAGGAUCAUUAACACGUAUCCAAACGUUAAAACCCCCCCCCGUGAACCUUCAUCCUGCUCUUGUACCCCGCAUAGUUCGCAAUCUCUGAUAAAUCAUAGCCCGGAAAGCCCGAGUGUACGGUCUACAGGAAUCGUAGAAGCGCUAUCCUUGCACAAUCAAUGACACUUUCCGACACUGACUGCUUGGGGAAACAUUGCCUAUAGAACUACCGCUCGAUUGUGACUGUUCCAAUGUUCGCACGUAGCCAGAGGUCUCUCAAUCACUACAACUUGCAGGAGCUUUGCCAAAGGGUCCCCAUGCCCCCUAAUAACCCCACAGUUUAAUGUGAAGCUCAAUGUAAUACAUUGGGUAAAAAAACCGAACAACUGUUAACAAUGGAUAUCUUGGUUCUC
Molecule: unclassified non-coding RNA, 428 nt
Filed under: fungal sp.
Lineage: Eukaryota; Fungi
Description: partial internal transcribed spacer region
Rfam family: Eukaryotic small subunit ribosomal RNA (bases 1-46)
Source: RNAcentral